UAUAUAUAUAUAUAAAGAGAUCCGGCUGGGAUACUAUUGAUAGCAUAAAACAUUUGGUGCUAUCAAGUUUUCUAUUGUUAGAUUUACCUCUUUUAUCAUUUUCAACCGUUAGAUUAUACUAUUCAACCAAACACUCACUUAACCAUAGGGAGCCCACAUCAUCCUAACCGCACAUCUUUUAAUUUAAUGGUAGAAAACUUAAUAGCCCAAGUCAUUGGCGCGAUUUAUAGUAUUCCAGCAUAGUUCUAUAUAUAUAUGAAAACUUAAUAGCCCAAGUCAUUGGUGCGAUUUAUAGUAUUCCAGCAUAGUUCUAUAUAUAUAUAUAUAUAUAUAUAUAUAUAUAUAGAGCAGGGCUGCUGUGCUCUCAGGAGCACGGAGGUCUCCGUGCUCCUGAGCCGUUUUCGAUGAUGGAAUUUUCGAAUCGACGAUCGGCUCCGUUAGACUUGAUCUAGCGCAUUUGAAGUUUCUAGAAAAUAAUUUUUGCGAUUUUUCGAUAUCAUUUACCUAGCAAUCGAAGGAUUCAAAACUCAAAUCAAAUUUUAACGGCUGAAAAUAAAAAUCCAUAAAAAGUGGUGAUAUAGCACUAAAUUUUCGAUCAGAAAUAUAGAUCUUGUUGUAGCUAGUAUAAAGAAUUUUCUAUCAAAAUUUCAUCUGAUUUGAAUACUUCUACACCGUUAAACUUGAAAACGGCAGAUAUCAACCAUUAAAAAUUAUAGAUUUUGAAUCCUUUCGAUCACUAGGUAAAUGAUAACGAAAAAUCGCAAAAAUUAUUUUCUAGAAACUUCAAAUGCGCUAGAUCAAGUCUAACGGAGCCGAUCGUCGAUUCGAAAAUUCCAUCAUCGAAACGGCUCAGGAGCACGGAGGCCUCGUGCUCCUGAGAGCACAGCAGCCUGCUCUCUCUCUCUCUCUCUCUCUCUCUCUCUCUCUAUAUAUAUAUAUAUAUAUAUAAUAUAUAUAUAUAUAUAUAUAUAUAGAGCAGGACUGUUGUGCUCAGUGGAGCACAGAGGCCUCCGUGCUCCUGAGCCGUCUUCGAUGAUGGAAUUUUCGAAUCGACGAUCGGCUCCGUUAGACUCGAUCUAGCAUAUUUGAAGUUUCUAGAAAAUAAUUUUUGCGAUUUUUUGAUAUCAUUUACCUAGUGAUCGAAAGGAUUCAAAAUUAAUAAUUUUUAAUAGUUGAUAUUUGCCGUUUUCAAGUUUAACGGUGUAGAAGUAUUCAAAUCAGAUGAAAUUUUGAUACAAAAUCUUUAUACUAUCUACAACAAGAUCAAUAUUUCUGAUCGAAAAUUUUAGUGCUAUAUCACCACUUUUUAUAGGAUUUUUAUUUUCAGUCGUUAAAAAUUAUUGAUUUUGAAUCUUUUCGAUUGCUACGUAAAUGCUAUCGAAAAAUCACAAAAAUUAUUUUCUAGAAACUUCAAAUACACUAGAUCGAGUCUAACGAAACCGAUCGUCGAUUCGAAAAUUCCAUUAUCGAAAACGGCUCAGGAGCACGGAGACCUCCGUACUCCUGAGAGCACAGCAGUCCUGCUAUAUAUAUAUAUAUGAGUGUAAUUAGUUCGCAGGUAAUAUAAGGUAAGAUAAAAUUUUAGAGGAGAGCUCCCUUACAUGACUUAUUGGGGAGCUCUCGAUUUGAUGUCAUGAGUUAAUUUUUUUUAUUAAAAAAUGCAUUAGGUGUUUUUAAUAAAAAAUUUUUAAAAAAAUAUUAAAUUUUUGAAAAUAGAGACAAAACUAUUAUACGACGACGGGACGUUAAUCGGGAAGCUCUCUCUAUUGAAAUAUUCUCCUGUGUGGUAUAUAUAUUUCCGUCCCAACUUUCAAAGAUUGAUUCCGACCUAACUUAGGAAGUAAACACCGACCGUUCCUAGAGCAAGUGGCAAAAGGUUUAGUGGUUGAAAUCCAAAACCCAAGUUCGAAUCCUAAUUGAUUCAUAUUUUCAGCUAAAUUUAUUUCUAAAUGAAAUAAAUGAAACCGGUAGCGUGCUACCUAUCUCUCAAAAAAUAAGAAAAAAAUAAAAUAAAAUAAAACUCUUACC
This 2028-nucleotide long non-coding RNA is filed under the name Ananas comosus (pineapple). RNAcentral describes it as "long non-coding RNA (ACOM_LNC008959)". Lineage: Eukaryota; Viridiplantae; Streptophyta; Magnoliopsida; Poales; Bromeliaceae. The record is from RNAcentral.